This 253-nucleotide ribosomal RNA is filed under the name uncultured bacterium. Its description in RNAcentral is "partial 16S ribosomal RNA". It matches the Rfam family "Bacterial small subunit ribosomal RNA", at positions 524 to 776 of the family's 1533-position model. The record is from RNAcentral.
GACAGAGGAUGCAAGCGUUAUCCGGAAUGAUUGGGCGUAAAGCGUCUGUAGGUGGCUUUUUAAGUCUGCCGUCAAAUCCCAGGGCUUAACCCUGGACAGGCGGUGGAAACUACCAAGCUGGAGUACGGUAGGGGCAGAGGGAAUUUCCGGUGGAGCGGUGAAAUGCGUAGAGAUCGGGAAGAACACCAACGGCGAAAGCACUCUGCUGGGCCGACACUGACACUGAGAGACAAAAGCUAGGGGAGCGAAUGGG